RNAcentral lists this ribosomal RNA (423 nucleotides) under uncultured beta proteobacterium. Its description in RNAcentral is "bacterial SSU rRNA". It matches the Rfam family "Bacterial small subunit ribosomal RNA", at positions 958 to 1381 of the family's 1533-position model. Lineage: Bacteria; Pseudomonadati; Pseudomonadota; Betaproteobacteria. The record is from RNAcentral.
AACGCGAAGAACCUUACCUACCCUUGACAUGCCAGGGAGCCCGAUGAGAGUUGGGUGUGCCCGAAAGGGAGCCUGGACACAGGUGCUGCAUGGCUGUCGUCAGCUCGUGUCGUGAGAUGUUGGGUUAAGUCCCGCAACGAGCGCAACCCUUGUCACUAGUUGCUACGCAAGGGCACUCUAGUGAGACUGCCGGUGACAAACCGGAGGAAGGUGGGGAUGACGUCAAGUCCUCAUGGCCCUUAUGGGUAGGGCUUCACACGUCAUACAAUGGCGCAUACAAAGGGCUGCCAACCCGCGAGGGGGAGCCAAUCCCAGAAAGUGCGUCGUAGUCCGGAUUGCAGUCUGCAACUCGACUGCAUGAAGUCGGAAUCGCUAGUAAUCGCGGAUCAGCAAUGUCGCGGUGAAUACGUUCCCGGGCUUGUA